This 641-nucleotide ribosomal RNA is filed under the name Megommation insigne. RNAcentral's name for it is "eukaryotic LSU rRNA". The record is from RNAcentral. Lineage: Eukaryota; Metazoa; Arthropoda; Insecta; Hymenoptera; Halictidae.
AAAGAUCGAAUGGGGAGAUUCAUCGACGACGAUGCUGGCUUCCGUAGACGUGCGAUGCCCCGAUUAUAGGCCUUCGUGGUUCCAAUGCGGGGAUACGCUGUUUGCGGCUUAAAUGUUCCGGCUAUGUAGUCGUGCACUUCUCCCUUUGUAGAACGUCGCGACCCGUUGCGUGUCGGUCUACGGUCCGAGUUGUUGGCUGUCGCGUCGCCCCGGUGCGUGCGCGGCAGACGCUCGAUCGCCUGGCCGGCUGCGUGACGGUACGCUGUGAGAGACGGUAUCGGGCCGCAACCAAUCCAUUUUCGAAUGUAUGUGCGUCAGGCCCGCCGCAAGCUCGGUUAGUAAUUACCCGGUGGUACGGACCUAGCGCCGGCUCCGGGCCUAACCAGCUGUUGGUUGGCGGUGUCCUUGGACUGGCCAAGCUUUGAAUUACCGGUCAGCGACGCUACUGCUUUGGGUCCUCUCAGGACCCGUCUUGAAACACGGACCAAGGAGUCUAACAUGUGCGCGAGUCACUGGGACUUGUAAACCUAAAGGCAUAAUGAAAGUAAAAGUUGACCAUUGCUGGUCGACCGAGGGAGGAUGGGCCGCGUCACGAUGCGGCCUCGCACUCCCGGGGCGUCUCGUUCUCAUUGCGAGAAGAG